RNAcentral lists this ribosomal RNA (506 nucleotides) under uncultured bacterium. RNAcentral describes it as "partial 16S ribosomal RNA". It matches the Rfam family "Bacterial small subunit ribosomal RNA", at positions 28 to 523 of the family's 1533-position model. The record is from RNAcentral.
GAUGAACGCUAGCUACAGGCUUAACACAUGCAAGUCGAGGGGUAACGAGAGGGAAGCUUGCUUUCCUUGUCGACGACCGGCGCACGGGUGAGUAACGCGUAUCCAACCUGCCCCCAACUAAGGAAUAACCUUGCGAAAGUAAGACUAAUACCCUAUAAUUUCCUCAGAUGACAUCUGACGAGGAAUAAAGAUUUAUCGGUUGUGGAUGGGGAUGCGUCUGAUUAGCUUGUUGGCGGGGUAACGGCCCACCAAGGCAACGAUCAGUAGGGGUUCUGAGAGGAAGGUCCCCCACAGUGGAACUGAGACACGGUCCUAACUCCUACGGGAGGCAGCAGUGAGGAAUAUUGGUCAAUGGGCGGAAGCCUGAACCAGCCAAGUAGCGUGCAGGAUGACGGCCCUAUGGGUUGUAAACUGCUUUUAUACAGGAAUAAAGUUAGCCACGUGUGGUUAUUUGUAGGUACUGUAUGAAUAAGGACCGGCUAAUUCCGUGCCAGCAGCCGCCGCAG